CUUUCUUUGCUGGCGACCGGCGCACGGGUGAGUAACACGUAUCCAACCUGCCCUUUACUCGGGGAUAGCCUUUCGAAAGAAAGAUUAAUACCCGAUAGUAUAAUGAUUCCGCAUGGUUUCAUUAUUAAAGGAUUCCGGUAAAGGAUGGGGAUGCGUUCCAUUAGGUUGUUGGUGAGAUAACGGCUCACCAAGCCUUCGAUGGAUAGGGGUUCUGAGAGGAAGGUCCCCCACAUUGGAACUGAGACACGGUCCAA
Molecule: ribosomal RNA, 254 nt
Filed under: uncultured bacterium
Lineage: Bacteria
Description: partial 16S ribosomal RNA
Rfam family: Bacterial small subunit ribosomal RNA
Source: RNAcentral